This 495-nucleotide ribosomal RNA is filed under the name uncultured bacterium. Its description in RNAcentral is "partial 16S ribosomal RNA". It matches the Rfam family "Bacterial small subunit ribosomal RNA", at positions 28 to 507 of the family's 1533-position model. The record is from RNAcentral.
GACGAACGCUGGCGGCGUGCCUAAUACAUGCAAGUAGAACGCUGAAGGAGGAGCUUGCUUCUCUGGAUGAGUUGCGAACGGGUGAGUAACGCGUAGGUAACCUGCCUGGUAGCGGGGGAUAACUAUUGGAAACGAUAGCUAAUACCGCGUAAGAGUAGAUGUCGCAUGACAUUUGCUUAAAAGGUGCAAUUGCAUCACUACCAGAUGGACCUGCGUUGUAUUAGCUAGUUGGUGAGGUAACGGCUCACCAAGGCAACGAUACAUAGCCGACCUGAGAGGGUGAUCGGCCACACUGGGACUGAGACACGGCCCAGACUCCUACGGGAGGCAGCAGUAGGGAAUCUUCGGCAAUGGACGGAAGUCUGACCGAGCAACGCCGCGUGAGUGAAGAAGGUUUUCGGAUCGUAAAGCUCUGUUGUAAGAGAAGAACGAGUGUGAGAGUGGAAAGUUCACACUGUGACGGUAUCUUACCAGAAAGGGACGGCUAACUACGUG